Phacochoerus africanus (Common warthog) is the source of this 205-nucleotide long non-coding RNA. RefSeq lists it as uncharacterized. The transcript is spliced from 2 exons. The record is from RefSeq and is a predicted model, not a curated record. Lineage: Eukaryota; Metazoa; Chordata; Mammalia; Artiodactyla; Suidae.
CCAGUGCUAUACAGCAGGAUCUCAUUGCUUUUCCAUUCCAAAGGCAACGGGAGUACCGUUUUAAAAGGGAAGGGGAGUGAGGACUCUUCAAAUCUAUGGAUUUCUCAGAUCGUCAGAGGAAGUGUAUGGGUACAGUUUCUUCAUGGAGUAACCAUGUAUGAAAAUAAAAAGAGUUGGAAACUCAUUUCCUUUUUUAUUAACAAUC